AGGUCAUGGCUAAAAAGAGGCCUCACGUACAACAUUCGUAUGAAGACUGGCUGCUAUCCAGCAGAUUUGUUACUAGGAGUAUUAUCUCUGCAGCAGAAAAGGACAGUCCCACCUGUAAUAUACCUUUUCCAUCAAAUGUCCACGUGGCCCAAAGACUAUGUCACCCAAGGCAUCUGCACUCUGCAAACCACCAUACACAGAUGUUGAGAAUGAUGUGAUUAUCCAGACCCUCUGUCACUGUGGAUCAUUCCUAUUAGGGACAGACAGUGGUGAAUGCUAAACAUAUCUUGAUACUGGCACUGCAAAUUGGAAAUGUAAGGAAUAGAUUUUUGCUUUACAUGCACACACUCACUUCUUUGUUCUCAGUCUUGCCCUCCUGAACCCCCCCCCAUGCAAGUGAUGAUGGUGGUGCCCUGCCCUUUGCACAUUUCUCUGUGACUUCAGUUUGCAUAUAUGUCUGAUGCACAGAGUGGAUAGCUAAUGCUUGCAUUUCUCAGAAUCUUCCUUUCAUGAAACUGUAUUGCAGAAUAAAUUCUUUUAUUCACA
Molecule: long non-coding RNA, 546 nt
Organism: Protopterus annectens (West African lungfish)
Lineage: Eukaryota; Metazoa; Chordata; Ceratodontiformes; Protopteridae
Exons: 3
Source: RefSeq, a predicted model, not a curated record